Molecule: ribosomal RNA, 426 nt
Filed under: Streptomyces sp. MBT25
Lineage: Bacteria; Bacillati; Actinomycetota; Actinomycetes; Kitasatosporales; Streptomycetaceae
Description: bacterial SSU rRNA
Rfam family: Bacterial small subunit ribosomal RNA
Source: RNAcentral
UUGGGGGAAGUGGCGACGGGUGAGUACACGUGGGCAAUCUGCCCUUCACUCUGGGACAAGCCCUGGAAACGGGGUCUAAUACCGGAUACGAGUUCGGGAGGCAUCUCCCGGGCUGGAAAGCUCCGGCGGUGAAGGAUGAGCCCGCGGCCUAUCAGCUUGUUGGUGGGGUAAUGGCCUACCAAGGCGACGACGGGUAGCCGGCCUGAGAGGGCGACCGGCCACACUGGGACUGAGACACGGCCCAGACUCCUACGGGAGGCAGCAGUGGGGAAUAUUGCACAAUGGGCGAAAGCCUGAUGCAGCGACGCCGCGUGAGGGAUGACGGCCUUCGGGUUGUAAACCUCUUUCAGCAGGGAAGAAGCGCAAGUGACGGUACCUGCAGAAGAAGCGCCGGCUAACUACGUGCCAGCAGCCGGGGUUAAUACG